GCCGAAAGAAUAGCUAGGUUCUAGAACAAACAUGCUAUGAAUAAUUGCAUUGUUACUUCAGUGAAAAGUUCCUGGGCAUACUAUGUGUUCCUCUAGACUUGGUUGAAAGUAUUUCUUUUGUUAUCUCUCACUAGGUACCUUUGUUGAUGAAUGUUGCCUACAGGUUAUAUAGACUCACAUGAUUACCUGAUGCGGAUUCUACAACUUGGAAAACACAUCUAGAAUAUUCAAGUUGUCUGUGGUGCCCUGGAGAAAGCUUGCUACUCCAAU
RNAcentral lists this long non-coding RNA (270 nucleotides) under Triticum aestivum (bread wheat). Its description in RNAcentral is "long non-coding RNA (TAES_LNC010832)". The record is from RNAcentral. Lineage: Eukaryota; Viridiplantae; Streptophyta; Magnoliopsida; Poales; Poaceae.